AUGCUGAGCCUGAAGCCAAAGUGGUGUCCAGUCCAGCUCCCUCAGUUAGGGGUGUAUCCCAACAGGGUUCUCCACCCCUAAAUCUGCCUCUCUGGGGCUGCCCUCCACUGCCGAGCUUACCGCACGCUGCAGCUUUGCCCUGAUGCCAGGAGCUGUAGCAGACGCAGCAGCACUGAGACAUCAAGUGACUCUUCUGCUGCACAGACACACUGAAGAACACACACACACACUCAACACAAACACACAGAGAAGAAAACACUAACUAUACACAAAAGCACUGAGAGAAAAUGUACACACACACACUCCACACACAUUACAAUAGCUUUAAAUCUAAGUGACAGUCGCUCUCCUGUUUACAUGUUUACUGAUCGGAACACAGCAGCUGCAGGUACAAAUAAGAAUUAAUCACUCCAUUAUAUAAUAAUAAACAACACUGCUAUUUUUUUCCUCUGUAUUUGCAUGUUAAUGCAGUACAAUGAAUGUAAUAUUUUUUAGUAAAUAUGAGAAUAUUCAAUUUGACACAGAGGUCAGAGGAAUUAUGGGAAACAUUUUUACAAUAGUUUUUGUACACAUUUGUAAAUUUUGUUUAUUCCUCCAUGUGUGUGAUUUUAAAUUAUAGAGGUUUAUUUUUAUUUGUA
Molecule: long non-coding RNA, 638 nt
Organism: Ictalurus punctatus (channel catfish)
Lineage: Eukaryota; Metazoa; Chordata; Actinopteri; Siluriformes; Ictaluridae
Source: Ensembl